This 569-nucleotide ribosomal RNA is filed under the name uncultured Nigrospora. RNAcentral describes it as "eukaryotic LSU rRNA". It matches the Rfam family "Eukaryotic large subunit ribosomal RNA", at positions 56 to 655 of the family's 3401-position model. The record is from RNAcentral. Lineage: Eukaryota; Fungi; Ascomycota; Sordariomycetes; Trichosphaeriales.
CCGAAAACAGGGAUUCCCCUAGUAACGGCGAGUGAAGCGGGAACAGCUCAAAUUUGAAAUCUGGCCCUUGGGUCCGAGUUGUAAUUUGUAGAGGAUGCUUUUGGUGCGGUGCCUUCCGAGUUCCCUGGAACGGGACGCCUUAGAGGGUGAGAGCCCCGUACGGUUGGACGCCUAGCCUCUGUAAAGCUCCUUCGACGAGUCGAGUAGUUUGGGAAUGCUGCUCUAAAUGGGAGGUAUAUUUCUUCUAAAGCUAAAUACUGGCCAGAGACCGAUAGCGCACAAGUAGAGUGAUCGAAAGAUGAAAAGCACUUUGAAAAGAGGGUUAAAUAGCACGUGAAAUUGUUGAAAGGGAAGCGUUUAUCACCAGACUUUUUCUGGGGGGAUCAUCCGGUGUUCUCACCGGUGCACUUCCCCCAGUUGAGGCCAGCAUCGGUUUUCGGAGGGGGAUAAAAGCUUCGGGAAUGUGACUCCCUCGGGAGUGUUAUAGCCCGUUGCAUAAUACCCUUCUGGGGACCGAGGUUCGCGCAUCUGCAAGGAUGCUGGCAUAAUGGUGAUCGUCGACGCGGCCG